Molecule: RNA transcript, 3455 nt
Organism: Spinacia oleracea (spinach)
Lineage: Eukaryota; Viridiplantae; Streptophyta; Magnoliopsida; Caryophyllales; Amaranthaceae
Exons: 4
Source: RefSeq, a predicted model, not a curated record
AUACGGUCAUAGAAACAUGACUCGGUAUCAUUUACAACCGUUGUGUUAAAAGCUCGUCGACGCUUCAAAGAAUCAAAGUCCCCCAAAAUUGGAUUCGAAGAGAGAGAAAAACGCUUGUGUAUCUUCUGCCGGAACCCACUGCUUCCAAUCAACGUUGCAAGAUGUCUUUGCAUCUUGCUAAUCUGUCACCUCGCAUGCGCAAAGAUGAGUUGGAACGUGUUUUCAAGAAGUUUGGCCGGUGCACUGUUCAACUGAAAGAUGGAUAUGGGUUUGCAGUGUACGAUAUCCGUGGGGAUGCUGAGAAGGCUUUAAGGACCCUGAAGGGCAAAAAGAUUUGUGGUGAGGUAGUAUAUCUUUCAUGGUCAAACAAUCAGCCUAAGCCAUUGCAAAGGUUUACAAGAGCUGCCAGAUCCCAUGAUACGCGGCAUGGAAGAAAUUCUGACCGGGGUGCUAAUUUCGUUGGCCGGGGAGAUUACUCAAUGAGCAACAGAAAACAACCUGAUAAAGGUCGAGAAAGGCACAAGUCUGCUGAGAUACAUGAUGAUAGGCGCAACUUCAACCUCAAUGAUGCAGUACCUGUAUACUAUGAUAAAAGGGAAGCAGUGCUGGAGGAAGAUUGUCGUAUUGAAGUUGAACCCAACCAGAUAGAUAAUGGAAGGUGGGGAGAGCAAGUUGAUAAUCUUCAAAAUGGUACUGGUUAUGAUGUACGGAUGGGAUUUGAUCGAUAUGACCCGGAUAGAGUUGACGGAAAAGGUGAAAUAUAUGAAAACCACGGUUUGAGACACUUUGCUUGUUCACAUUCAGUAGGGACAUCACCAGACAAGAACCGAAGGGUACGCCCCGAUAAAACGAGAGGCCAUUUAACUUGUUUUAAAUGUGGAGCUCCUGGUCAUAAGAUGCGUGAUUGUCCAUUGACAGAGGCUUUGCAGGAGAAGAGCACAUACCCCUCACAGGGUAGGCAUGAUUUAAAAGCUGAGAGUGAAGUUGGAAGGGUAGAAACUAGGGCUGGGAUAGGGUUGCAGUCUUGUAUCAGGGAUCCAAAAUCUGCAAGGCAACCUGACACUGACAAGAAAUUAUCUCGUUCAGGAAAGGAUGGAGUAAAUAGCACAUGUUCUCCAGUAGACAAUGAAUCUAGGCGCGACAAAAGAAAGUAUUACAAUAGCAACCGAGAAAGGGAGAGGGACGAUCAAAUUGUAGAGUCUCAUGCUGAUAAGAAGUCGAGGGUUUCAGCCUUUUCUCGUCUACAUUCUGAUUGCACAUCUCCUGAGUUGGGCUUAUGUUCAGGACCAUCAAAGCCUUUGGCGGGAUUGAAUUCUCAUUUUAAAACUGGAUCACCUGGACCACAUUCCGUUUCUGCUAGAUCAAGGUCCAAUUCAAGAUCGGGCAGAUCCAUGUCCAAUUCGAGAUUGCACAGAUCCAGGUCCAAUUCAAGAUUUCGCAGAUCCAGGUCUAGAAGUAUCAAGGUGAGGUCAAGGUCAAGGUCAAGGUCAAGGUCAAGGUCAAGGUCAAGGUCAAGGUCAAGGUCAAAGUCAAGGUCAAAGUCAAAGUCAAGGUCUAGGUCUAGGUCUAGGUCUAGGUCAAGGUCACCAUCCUCUUCCUUGUCUAUCUCUCUUGGCCGGUCUUUACCCUCUUCUCCAAACAAGGCAGAGGCUAAUUUGAAUGGCUUUUCUGAAGGUGGACCUAGUCCUCUAUCCAAAGAAGUGCCGACUGAAGUCAGGCAACAUGAUGAACCUGAAGUAAAAGAGGAGAACCUAUCCAUAGCAAACAAAGAAAACAAAGAAGAGCAUAGUUUGAGUGGACAUAUGGAUAAUCUUACAAGUCACCAUAUCACGGAGGUUCCAAUAGAGAGGAAGCAAUCCAAACAUGAUCCGGAGACACUGGCUUCUACAACACACACUGAAAUAAGCUUGAAUGGCUUUGUGGAAGAUGAGCAGAUUCCACAAUAUCACGAGGCAGUUUUUGAGGAGAAGCAGCGGUUGGAACUGGGGCAGAAUUUUGAACCUCCACCAAACGAAUGUGUUUCUUCUUCUGGCAAGGUGAUAGAUGACUUGAAGCUAAACCAAGAACUUAAUGACGCUGAUAUUGCUUCCACUGCCCGUCAUGAAUUUUGUGAAGUCGAAGCUCCUAGCUCAUCUUUGCUUGAGAAGGAUGACAAUGAGUAUGCUGCUGUAAAAAUGUCAGCUGAGGAGCUAAAAGAAACCGAGGAACUUGAAAAUGACAGUGCUUUAGAAACAAUCAAAUCUUUGGAACCAGCCAAUAACUCAGAUCUGGAAGCUCCUUCUAAAUUGCAUGUUGGCAGCCAUCUAAGCAUAUCUGCAGAGGAAUUAUCCAGGGUACUAAAACACUAUGGUUUGAAACAUCCAGAAGAUAGUGAACAGCAUGUUGAUGUUGGAGAUUACUUUGGUUCUUCUCGAGUAUGGCCUUGGGAGAUGAUUUAUUACAGGAGACUGAAGAAGGGUCCUAUCUCAUUGGAGAACUAUGCGAGGCGAGUAGCUCAAAAUGAAGCAUUCCGCAUCACCGACAAAUAUAUUAGAAGUAGUAGUGGAUGGGGGGAAUCGAUUGAAGAACAUCAUUAGAAAACAUAAUACCUUUUUGAUGUUUCUCGUGCUUUACUUGAAUAUAAGAGGAGGUGGUCCUUUUCACUUGACAUAUAUCUAUAUAGAACUACUGAAUUUCCGUCUUGGUGUUUCUUUCUGAGAGUGGUUGCUGAAAUUUUCAAGCGAACAACAGGUGAAAUGAGUUUGGCAAAAUGACACUUGCUGUAACCGAAGUUUAUGGGCACCAAGUAAGUAAGUAGUUCAGAAGAAGAAUGCCCAUUAAUGGGUUUCCAUGAGACAUUUUUUAGGAUGUUUUUGAAGUUGAAAUGUUGAUUGAAGAUAAAAGUUGAUGAGCUCUUUGUGAACCUAUGUCUAAUGUUCCUGUAUGAUCUGUAUCCAAAUAGUUGAGAAUCAGUUGAAUAGUUCCUGUUCAAUGAUGGUCAUUAUGACCAGACAAUCAAACCUUUCCAUAGCCAUACCUUUGAUCUUGAUCAAACCCGAACAGCUCAGACCUUUCCAGUUUAGUCGUGCCGAUGUCCUAAGGUGGUAGCCACUGCACUCUCCCCGAGUCCCCGCCAUGUUGACUGGUAGAGGAGCUCGUGCAGUCGCGCAAUCUAAGGUUCUGAGUAACUUGUCUUCUGACUGUUGAGAGUUUAGAUUUCCGGAUAACUGAGCAUACUACUCCGUACUUUUUAGGUGUACGUACAAUUGUUAAUAUCGUGUGGGGUAUACAGUAUUUAUUUCGUACACCAAAGUGGUUGAUUUGAAUUAACCCUAACCUUUCAUUUUCGUUUCUACUUGUACAAAUUCUACAUAUUUGUAGUUUUAUUCUUUAACACAAGGCCAGGGUUUUAUGGUUCAUUUUUUCGGCUUAUUUGAUCUCUCUCAUUAAUACAAGUUUUACGUUUUUGGAGUACC